GACGAACGCUGGCGGCGUGCCUAAUACAUGCAAGUCGAACGCUUCUUUCCUCCCGAGUGCUUGCACUCAAUUGGAAAGAGGAGUGGCGGACGGGUGAGUAACACGUGGGUAACCUACCCAUCAGAGGGGGAUAACACUUGGAAACAGGUGCUAAUACCGCAUAACAGUUUAUGCCGCAUGGCAUAAGAGUGAAAGGCGCUUUCGGGUGUCGUUGAUGGAUGGACCCGCGGUGCAUUAGCUAGUUGGUGAGGUAACGGCUCACCAAGGCCACGAUGGAUAGCCGACCUGAGAGGGUGAUCGGCCACACUGGGACUGAGACACGGCCCAGACUCCUACGGGAGGCAGCAGUAGGGAAUCUUCGGCAAUGGACGAAAGUCUGACCGAGCAACGCCGCGUGAGUGAAGAAGGUUUUCGGAUCGUAAAACUCUGUUGUUAGAGAAGAACAAGGACGUUAGUAACUGAACGUCCCCUGACGGUAUCUAACCAGAAAGCCACGGCUAACUACGUG
Molecule: ribosomal RNA, 508 nt
Filed under: uncultured bacterium
Lineage: Bacteria
Description: partial 16S ribosomal RNA
Rfam family: Bacterial small subunit ribosomal RNA
Source: RNAcentral